Molecule: ribosomal RNA, 1996 nt
Filed under: metagenome
Description: bacterial LSU rRNA
Rfam family: Bacterial large subunit ribosomal RNA
Source: RNAcentral
UCAAGCUAAUAAGAGCGCAGGGUGGAUGCCUUGGCACUAAGAGCCGAUGAAAGACGUGAUAAGCUGCGAAAAGCUUCGGGGAGGAGCAAAUAUCCUUUGAUCCGGAGAUAUCUGAAUGGGGAAACCCGGCUGAGUAACCCUCAGUCACCAUAACGUAAAUACAUAGCGUUAUGGAGGGAACCCGGUGAACUGAAACAUCUAAGUAGCCGGAGGAAGAGAAAGAAACAUCGAUUCCGGAAGUAGCGGCGAGCGAACCCGGAAGAGCCCAAACCAGUGUGCGUGCAUGCUGGGGUUAAGGACUGCAUAAGUGAGCCGAUCUGUUAAUGGAACUGCCUGGGAAGGCAGGCCAGAGAGGGUGAAAGCCCCGUACAUGAAAACAGCAGGCAGCGGCAGGAUCCAGAGUACCGCGAGACACGAGAAACCUUGCGGGAAGUCGGAGGGACCACCCUCCAAGGCUAAAUACUCCUUAGUGACCGAUAGCGCAUAGUACUGUGAAGGAAAGGUGAAAAGGACCCCGGGAGGGGAGUGAAAGAGAACCUGAAACCCUGUGUUUACAAGCUGUGGGAGCACGUUAAGGUGCAACCGCGUACUUUUUGUAGAACGGUCCGGCGAGUUGCCGGUGCUGGCAAGGUUAAAUGGUACAGCCAUGGAGCCGAAGGGAAACCAAGUCUCAAAUGGGCGUAAAGUCAGCACAGGCAGACCCGAAACCGGGUGACCUAUCCAUGUCCAGGAUGAAGCGGAAGUAAAAUUCCGUGGAGGUCCGGAUCCACAUCCGUUGAAAAGGGUGGGAAUGAGGUGUGGAUAGGGGAGAAAUUCCAAUCGAACCCGGAGAUAGCUGGUUCUCCUCGAAAUAGCUUUAGGGCUAGCCCCGUAUUAGUUUAGCGGAGGUAGAGCACUGAAUUCCUAAGGGGGCGUCAAAGCUUACCAAGGGAUAUCAAACUCCGAAUGCCGCAUAAAUGAUGUACGGGAGUCAGACUGCACGAGAUAAGUUGGGCAGUCAAAAGGGAAAGAGCCCAGACCUACAGCUAAGGUCCCAAAGUGUGUGUUAAGUGGAAAAGGAUGUGGGAUUUCAGAGACAACUAGGAUGUUGGCUUAGAAGCAGCCACACAUUCAAAGAGUGCGUAAUAGCUCACUAGUCGAGAGGUCCUGCGCCGAAAAUGUCCGGGGCUGAAACACAACACCGAAGCUUAGGAAUGUAGUAAUACAUUGGUAGAGGAGCAUUCUUAAAGGAAUGAAGCAGUACCGGUAAGGAGCUGUGGACUUUUAAGAAGAGAGAAUGCCGGAAUGAGUAGCGAGAUGGAGGUGGGAAUCCUCCAGGCCGAAUAUCCAAGGUUUCCAGAGUAAAGCUGAUCUGCUCUGGGUAAGUCGGGGCCUAAGGUAAGGCUGAGAAGCGUAGCCGAUGGACAACAGGUUGAGAUUCCUGUACCGCGUAUCAUCAGAACUGUGGGGACACAGAAGGACAGCACAUCCCGGGAAUGGAAAGACCGGGGCAAGCAGGGUAGGAGUUAAGCUGGCAAAUCCGCUUAACAAUCCGAAGCUGUGAUGCGGAGCGAAUUUAAGUAGUGAAGUGUGCGAUUCCGGCUGUCAAGAAAAGCCGCUAUUGUGUGAUACGUGCCCGUACCGUAAACCGACACAGGUAGAUGAGGAGAGAAUCCUAAGGCCGGCGGGAGAAGCAUUGUUAAGGAACUCGGCAAAAUGACCCUGUAACUUCGGGAGAAAGGGUGCCUGGGAAACCAGGCCGCAGAGAAUAGGCUCAAGCAACUGUUUAGCAAAAACACAGGUCUAUGCAAAACCGUAAGGUGAGGUAUAUGGGCUGACGCCUGCCCGGUGCUGGAAGGUUAAGAGGAGGGGUUAGCGCAAGCGAAGCUCUGAAUUGAAGCCCCAGUAAACGGCGGCCGUAACUAUAACGGUCCUAAGGUAGCGAAAUUCCUUGUCGGGUAAGUUCCGACCCGCACGAAAGGCGUAAUGAUUUGAGCGCUGUCUCGACAAUGCACCC